CUAUUACAGCCUAUCCAGAAACGUCACUUGUCAAAGGCACCACUACGCCGUUUCAGCAAGCUUGUACCGCUAUAUGUCUGAGAGGCGUAACCGACGAUUUUAUGUUCUGACUGGAAAUUGGAUAAUAUCAAGAAAUUAUCGUUGCUUUUCCUUCUUUAUGGCGUCACGAGAUAGAAGAACACUUACUGUGAGCGUAUCAUCGUAUGAUGGGAGCUACAAAAACUUGACCCAUGUUAUAUCGCAAUACACAAACACGUGGGAAUUAAAAACAGUUGGUCUUCCGUUAGAUAUAAUCGAUCUUUUCAGAGUUGAAUUCAUUAUGCCUGCUUUUCUUCAAAUUGCUAUCGAUGAAAUCCAGUUCAGUCAUAUGUCCUGCGAAUCAGAUGUAGACGAAUGUUCUAAUUCCAGUCUCAAUGCAUGCGCGCAUAAGUGUGUUAAUUCGUUUGGAG
Corticium candelabrum is the source of this 449-nucleotide long non-coding RNA. RefSeq lists it as uncharacterized. NCBI's taxonomy places the organism in Eukaryota, Metazoa, Porifera, Homoscleromorpha, Homosclerophorida, Plakinidae. The transcript has 3 exons. The record is from RefSeq and is a predicted model, not a curated record.